ACUCCUACGGGAGGCAGCAGUGGGGAAUCUUGGACAAUGGGCGCAAAGCCUGAUCCAGCCAUGCCGCGUGAGUGAUGAAGGCCUUAGGGUCGUAAAGCUCUUUCGCCAGGGAUGAUAAUGACAGUACCUGGUAAAGAAACCCCGGCUAACUCCGUGCCAGCAGCCGCGGUAAUACGGAGGGGGUUAGCGUUGUUCGGAAUUACUGGGGCGUAAAGCGCGCGUAGGCGGGGUUGUUAAGUUAGAGGUGAAAUCCCGGGGGCUCAACCCCGGAACUGCCUUUAAUACUGGCAACCUAGAGUUCGAGAGAGGUGAGUGGAAUUCCGAGUGUAGAGGUGAAAUUCGUAGAUAUUCGGAGGAACACCAGUGGCGAAGGCGGCUCACUGGCUCGAUACUGACGCUGAGGUGCGAAAGUGUGGGGAGCAAACAGGAUUAGAUACCCUGGUAGCUACGAG
RNAcentral lists this ribosomal RNA (452 nucleotides) under uncultured bacterium. RNAcentral's name for it is "bacterial SSU rRNA". It matches the Rfam family "Bacterial small subunit ribosomal RNA", at positions 335 to 801 of the family's 1533-position model. The record is from RNAcentral.